AUUGAACGCUGGCGGCAGGCCUAACACAUGCAAGUCGAACGGUAACAGGAAGCAGCUUGCUGCUUCGCUGACGAGUGGCGGACGGGUGAGUAAUGUCUGGGAAACUGCCUGAUGGAGGGGGAUAACUACUGGAAACGGUAGCUAAUACCGCAUAACGUCGCAAGACCAAAGAGGGGGACCUUAGGGCCUCUUGCCAUCGGAUGUGCCCUGAUGGGAUUAGCUAGUAGGUGGGGUAACGGCUCACCUAGGCGACGAUCCCUAGCUGGUCUGAGAGGAUGACCAGCCACACUGGAACUGAGACACGGUCCAGACUCCUACGGGAGGCAGCAGUGGGGAAUAUUGCACAAUGGGCGCAAGCCUGAUGCAGCCAUGCCGCGUGUAUGAAGAAGGCCUUCGGGUUGCAAAGUACUUUCAGCGGGGAGGAAGGGAGUAAAGUUAAUACCUUUGCUCAUUGACGUUACCCGCAGAAGAAGCACCGGCUAACUCCGUG
Molecule: ribosomal RNA, 490 nt
Filed under: uncultured bacterium
Lineage: Bacteria
Description: partial 16S ribosomal RNA
Rfam family: Bacterial small subunit ribosomal RNA
Source: RNAcentral